GUCCAGUUACUACAAGAUCAUUUUGUUAGAAAUCACCGUCAUGAAGAGGGACAGGUUAGCUGGAUCAGCACAUACAGUUCAGAGAGAGCUAGGGAACAAGAAAGCCAACUCAGCCAAUCAGAGAGCUCAUCUCAGCAGUUUAGCUUGGCCUCACUUAAAGGAGCAGAACACUGAUUUUAUUUUCUUCACACCAUGCUUGCCACAAGUUUAUUUCCCCCAGUACACUUCUAUCUUGGGGGCCGACUCUCCCCCUUGUGACCUGUCUGCCCAUUGGGGAAGUGGUAGCUGGACACCCUUCAGAUCUCCAAACAGAUCUCCACUGACCUUGGACCCUGAAAUUCACUGGGGGUAUGCCCCUAAAGACACUAUGUCUGCAGCCUUUCCCUCCCUCUCUUAUUCCCCUCUCCCUCUCUCCAGACCAUAUGCAGGGACAGCUCUACACCCAUUCUCAGCACUGAAGAAACUACAGAAAAUUUGGACCUUCGCCCUUUUCCCUUAGAUACUUGGAGAGGGGUUGGGGAUAGGAUGUCAGGGGGCACUGAACCAGGUGGGGCCUGAGAUUAUGGCCCUCCAGGAGGCUGUUUGGUUCCCCUAUGGAUGGCUGAGCCUGCCAGAUGGCAGGACUCACCAGAAGCAGUGGGGAGACAGCUAGCAAAAAGAAUACAUGACACCACACAUAGGAGAGAGAAGCUGCUGGCCCCUGGUACACCCAUCUUUUAACUCCUCUCCCUGUCUCACUACCCUAGUCUAGUCCCUUAUAGGACACCUUAUAAUCUUAAUCCUACUCUUAACGUUUGACCCCUGCAUUUUCAACCACCUCGUUCAGUUCGUGAAAGACCGGCUGGACGCCAUCCAGGUGUUGGCCCUCCAGCAACAGUACUGACCCCUAGCCACUAUUGAGCCCCGGGCUGGGAGCUACGAGCUGCCUCAGUGGGCAGGCCUUCCCUCUGCCCCCUAAGAGAAAAAGAAGUUGGAAAUGAGGGAGGUCUGAGCUGGAAAUUGCCCAGCCUUGGAAGUUCAGCAAGGAGCUGCCCAGCUUUGGAAGUUCAGCUAGGAGCUGCCUGGCCUUGGAAGUUCAGAACUACAAAUAUGCCAAGAUCCCAGCUGCAGAGGGUAACAGAUAAAAACUUCGAGGCCAGGAAAACCCCAGAAACAUAAAAAUGCCAAGGUUCCAAGAAUAGUAUGUAACAAAUAAGGGCUGAAGGGAGCCAUACAUGCUGGCAACAAUGGUGUGUAACAGAUGAAAACUG
RNAcentral lists this long non-coding RNA (1250 nucleotides) under Monodelphis domestica (gray short-tailed opossum). Its description in RNAcentral is "lncRNA (ENSMODG00000044948.1)". Lineage: Eukaryota; Metazoa; Chordata; Mammalia; Didelphimorphia; Didelphidae. The record is from RNAcentral.